Molecule: non-coding RNA, 744 nt
Organism: Pseudopodoces humilis (Tibetan ground-tit)
Lineage: Eukaryota; Metazoa; Chordata; Aves; Passeriformes; Paridae
Source: RefSeq, a predicted model, not a curated record
GGCACAGAAGCACCACCUCACCCACAGUAGUUUCACCUGCUAUUGUUUCCCCCACACAGGUCCUGGUCAUCUCUGAAAUCCCAGCAAGGCUCAUUUUACCAAGGAAAUGCCACCACAUCUCCCCAGCGCUUGCAGCACCUAGCGUGUGUACGUGCUCAGCAGUGCCAGCACCUCAAGGAGGACAAGGCUGUAAGCAGCCAGCAUUUGGGAUGUGCUGCAAGGGACCCCCGUCUUGAGGGGCCAGAUCAGCGCUCCACUCCGGGGCCAGUGACUCUGGGACAAGGAGAAUGUACCACUUAAAUUUGUCCCAUCAGACCCAGUGGCAGCAGUAGAGCCCAACCAUGUCCUCAGGGAGCUACCGACCAUUGGUGUCAGGGUGAAGAAGCAGAAGAAAAGGAUGUGCUUACGUGUAAAGACUUUUUGACAAAGAUCUGAGCAAUUUCUUUGUGCUUCUGGGCUCUUCAGAGUGAAGGUGAAGAGAAAGCACCAUGAUGGCAUGCACACCUUGAGAUUAAAAUGCUGUUUGCAUGCUCUGUGCGGUGCACAUGGUCAUCUUUGACCACCUUGCAGGGCUCUGUCUGAGGGGCCAGCACAGUUUGGUAUUAUCUGUGGAUGCUGAGUACCAGAGCCACAGCCAGAGAGUUUGUUGUGAGGACAUCACCAGCCCACAGAGGUACCCAGGGUGGGAUUUUCCCCUUCCAGCAGGAUAAACUCCUGGGUUCCUUGGACACGUAGCCCUGUAUA